AAAAUCGUUAACUAUGAUGAAAAAAAUAAUUUAAAAAUUCUAAUACAUAACGGUAAUAUCAUUAAUACAUAACGGUAGGAACCGUUAUGUAUAAUUGUUAAAGAUAACGGUUAUGUACCGUUAUGUAUGAGCGCAUCAUACCGUUAUCUAUACUACUAUACAUAACGGUAAUAAAACCGUUAUGUAUGACCAUAUCAUAGAUAUCACCACUAUA
Molecule: long non-coding RNA, 214 nt
Filed under: Salvia miltiorrhiza (redroot sage)
Lineage: Eukaryota; Viridiplantae; Streptophyta; Magnoliopsida; Lamiales; Lamiaceae
Description: long non-coding RNA (SMIL_LNC009399)
Source: RNAcentral